Molecule: long non-coding RNA, 996 nt
Organism: Paralichthys olivaceus (Japanese flounder)
Lineage: Eukaryota; Metazoa; Chordata; Actinopteri; Pleuronectiformes; Paralichthyidae
Source: RefSeq, a predicted model, not a curated record
UGUUGGUACGUUGUCGAUUCUGGUCAGGUCCUGUUCGUCAUCUGAUACCUUACCGUCACCUCUCGCCACGUUUCCCUGAGGAUCUGGAGUCACCCACACAUUAGUAUCAUCUGGAUGGAAAGGAAGAGGGGAAGAUGCACACUGAUGCCCGAGUGGGAUCGUUUACAAAGUUCAGAGGACCCUGCCUGUAGAGCUCUGAGUUGCAGUCUGACUUUAGACACGUGAUGCUCCAUCACCACCAACUCCCGCUCUAUCUUUCUCUCUAGCUCUCUCUCUCUGUGCGUGAGAGAGAGUUUGGAGAGAUGCAUAUUCAUCCAUGCAUUGUGGAUUCUGGCAGGCGCAGGGAGAAAAAGAAGAUGGAGAGACAGAAUUGGGCCAGUGAGUGGCAGAGCUCCCUGCAGCCUCAUUCAGAGUGCUGGAUGUCUGAGGAGGUACUGGAAGCCCCUGGGCAAAUACUGACAUCACUGGAUCGGCUUCCUCAUGUCUGGGAAGACAGCCCUAUAUCUCAAGAGAACAGAGCCCACUUUAUAUGAGGCUGCCAGAGGGCAGGCGCCAGGGAAGAGUGCAAGCUAGUGGGGAUGAGAGGGGCUCCAGCUCCAGAUGAAUGUGAAGAGCAACUUUUUGUCAAGAGUGUGAUGGAAAAUAAAUGUCAAGAGCUCAUCCCUGAAGUAUUUGGGUUUAGUUUCUCUCCGUGUCUGUUGGUUAACUUGAACGGAUUGAAACAAAUGCCAAACUCGGUGAAUGGUUAUCAUGAGAAGAGCACUGCAGGGAACAAGAGGCAUGAUGGGAGCAACAUAGUCAUGUUCAGAGGUUUAUACAGCCUGCAUUUUUUCUUUAUCUUGUAGAUUGAAACCAAGGCCUCCGUAUGUAGUGGUAGCUGAGAGUAGCUAAUAGUACAGCUGUAUUCUACACAGGAUUGUUUUUAGACUGCUUCCUUUGGUACCAUGGUUGUGGACACCCAGGGGUGGACAAGCUCGAGCAACCUAUGAUUUGUUU